This is a long non-coding RNA of Erigeron canadensis, 785 nucleotides long. RefSeq lists it as uncharacterized. Lineage: Eukaryota; Viridiplantae; Streptophyta; Magnoliopsida; Asterales; Asteraceae. The transcript is spliced from 4 exons. The record is from RefSeq and is a predicted model, not a curated record.
AUGCCCAAAAGAAGAAACAUACUGGUAAUGGUUUGACAAGUUUAUCCACAGGCAUAUAGCUGUACAAAAUCACACAAUAUUCUCAUUUUUAACCUCACUUUUUGUUUUAAUGUAUUAAUUGAGGUACAUUCACUUGAGAUAUUUAUAGUAACAGGUCUAGAGACUAGAAUUCGUGGUAUUUUGGACCCAACUGACCCUUUAGGCAAUGCUCAACUGUUAUGUUAGAAACCGAUUCGAAAGUAUGACCAUUUACUGGAGACAUUCGGUUCUUACCAAGGAAAGCAUUUGAUCUUUUUUCUGGCAAUGCCAUCAUGGAAAAAAAGGUCUGGAAGAGACUAAAGAAUACCUGAUCGUCAAGUAAUUAAGAAAUCACUACAAUGUUCGAGUUGCAGAGGAAUAAGUGUAGCUACUGUUAUUAGAGGACAAUACAAGUACAAAACUGUAUUGUUAAAUAUUCUUAACAAAAUCCAAGCAAAGGUGUCGUCAGAAGGUACUAAUUUGACUACAGAAGUCUAAGUUUAAGAUCGCUGAUGGGAUGCAUUCGUGUACCAAAAGCACUAGAGGACACUGCCGACAACAUUUUCAAAGUAAGUUGAAUACAGUAAUUGGAUAGGGAAACUGGAAGCCUAAUCAUAGUUUAUCUUCAUAAAAAAGUUUACUACUUUUUUGUACGUUCAACGGUCAACAUAGUAUUAACAAGAAUAUUUUCUUGUCUUAGAUUACUUUAUAUAUGAAAUCCAUUGUAAACAUGUGAUCUUAUGUGGAAAGAAAAAGUGGAGUUCAAA